UCUCCGUAGGUGAACCUGCGGAGGGAUCAUUACAGAGUUCUCGCCCUCGUGGGUAUAUCUCCCACCCACUGUUAUCUUCAUUGUGUUCCUUUCUCCGGCCGCCUGGCCCCCCCCGGCCGCCGGCUCCGGCUUGGGCGCCCCCGCCAGAUGCGCACCAUACUCUGCAAGUUAUUGUCGUUUGAGUACUAUAUAAUAGUUAAAACUUUUAACAACGGAUCCCUUGGUUCUGGCAUUGCCGAAGAACGCAGCAGAUUUGCAGAGCAGACGUCUGAACUCCAC
This 279-nucleotide unclassified non-coding RNA is filed under the name plant metagenome. RNAcentral's name for it is "partial contains small subunit ribosomal RNA, internal transcribed spacer 1, and 5.8S ribosomal RNA". The record is from RNAcentral.